RNAcentral lists this ribosomal RNA (478 nucleotides) under Peyssonnelia sp. Its description in RNAcentral is "SSU rRNA". It matches the Rfam family "Eukaryotic small subunit ribosomal RNA", at positions 439 to 925 of the family's 1831-position model. The record is from RNAcentral. Lineage: Eukaryota; Rhodophyta; Florideophyceae; Peyssonneliales; Peyssonneliaceae.
AAUUANCCAAUCCGGAUACCGGGAGGUAGUGACAAGAAAUAGCNAUAGAGGGCCCGAUGGGUUUUCUAAUUGGAAUGAGAACAAGGUAAACAGCUUAUCGAGGAGCCAGCAGAGGGCAAGUCUGGUGCCAGCAGCCGCGGUAAUUCCAGCUCUGUAAGCGUAUACCCAAGUUGUUGCAGUUAAAACGCUCGUAGUCGGAAGUUGGUGGGCGAGACGGGGCGUCUUCGCGGACGGACCUGGGUCGACUGCCUUUGUGGAGAGGGGCGCUGGGCCGCUUGAGUGCGGACUGGUUGCCGCUGCCACCGUUUACUGUGAAAAAAUUAGAGUGUUCAAAGCGGGCGUUUGCCAUGAAUACCUUAGCAUGGAAUAAUAGAAUAGGACCUGUGUUCUAUUUUGUUGGUUUGUGAGGACUGGGUAAUGAUUAAGAGGGACGGUUGGGGGCAUUUGUAUUCCGGCGUCAGAGGUGAAAUUCUUGGAU